CUACGGGAUGCAGCAGUGGGGAAUAUUGCACAAUGGACGAAAGUCUGAUGCAGCAACGCCGCGUGGAGGAUGACACAUUUCGGUGCGUAAACUCCUUUUAUAUAAGAAGAUAAUGACGGUACUAUAUGAAUAAGCACCGGCUAACUCCGUGCCAGCAGCCGCGGUAAUACGGAGGGUGCAAGCGUUACUCGGAAUCACUGGGCGUAAAGAGCGUGUAGGCGGGUUAAUAAGUUGGAAGUGAAAUCCUAUGGCUCAACCAUAGAACUGCUUCCAAAACUGUUAACCUAGAAUAUGGGAGAGGUAGAUGGAAUUUCUGGUGUAGGGGUAAAAUCCGUAGAGAUCAGAAGGAAUACCGAUUGCGAAGGCGAUCUACUGGAACAUUAUUGACGCUGAGACGCGAAAGCGUGGGGAGCAAACAGGAUUAGAUACCCCUGUAGUC
Molecule: ribosomal RNA, 439 nt
Filed under: uncultured bacterium
Lineage: Bacteria
Description: partial 16S ribosomal RNA
Rfam family: Bacterial small subunit ribosomal RNA
Source: RNAcentral